Molecule: ribosomal RNA, 618 nt
Filed under: uncultured bacterium
Lineage: Bacteria
Description: bacterial SSU rRNA
Rfam family: Bacterial small subunit ribosomal RNA
Source: RNAcentral
CAAAGAUUUAUCGGCAAAGGAUGGGCCUGCGUCUGAUUAGCUAGUUGGUAAGGUAACGGCUUACCAAGGCGACGAUCAGUAGCCGACCUGAGAGGGUGAACGGCCACAUUGGAACUGAGACACGGUCCAAACUCCUACGGGAGGCAGCAGUGGGGAAUAUUGCACAAUGGGCGAAAGCCUGAUGCAGCAACGCCGCGUGAAGGAAGAAGGCCUUCGGGUCGUAAACUUCUGUCCUUGGGGAAGAAGAACUGACGGUACCCAAGGAGGAAGCCCCGGCUAACUACGUGCCAGCAGCCGCGGUAAUACGUAGGGGGCAAGCGUUAUCCGGAAUUAUUGGGCGUAAAGAGUACGUAGGUGGCAACCUAAGCGCAGGGUUUAAGGCAAUGGCUCAACCAUUGUUCGCCCUGCGAACUGGGAUGCUUGAGUGCAGGAGAGGAAAGCGGAAUUCCUAGUGUAGCGGUGAAAUGCGUAGAUAUUAGGAGGAACACCAGUGGCGAAGGCGGCUUUCUGGACUGUAACUGACACUGAGGUACGAAAGCGUGGGGAGCAAACAGGAUUAGAUACCCUGGUAGUCCACGCCGUAAACGAUGAGCACUAGGUGUCGGGGUCGCAAGACUU